UUCUCCCUUUUAUCGUGUUUGCUACUGUUCGUUUUGUCUUCUAUUUCUGAUCAUCUCCAUCCAUAAAGAAAAGCCAAUUUGCAGAGCGGAAGCGCCUUGUUCCUGAUGGCGAUUUCUGCAUUGAAGGUUGGCGAGAUCGAGCUGAUGGCAGUUCUCCGUGCCACUCAAAUGCCCCUUUUUGAUGAUGGCCUCGAACAAGCUGCUACAUUUCUAUUUUCUUAUGGUUUUCUUUCAUCU
Long non-coding RNA from Zingiber officinale, 237 nucleotides. RefSeq lists it as uncharacterized. The transcript has 2 exons. Lineage: Eukaryota; Viridiplantae; Streptophyta; Magnoliopsida; Zingiberales; Zingiberaceae. The record is from RefSeq and is a predicted model, not a curated record.